CUGAUUCUAUUCCAUGGCAUGAGAUUCCUGUUGUCGCUAUAAUAGAUGAUAUACGUCAGGGCUCACAAGUACAGCCAUUUUUUUUAAAAGCAUUGGAAUUUAUUAUCUCGACUUGUAGACAUCAGAAGUAGAACAUCAGCCUCAGGGCGUAACGGGGGGGGGGGGUAGACCGGGCCGUGGCUCCUCUGGAGAGUCUAGGGGGUCUCUGCCCUGCCCUCUCCUGACUUUUGGGUGCUGUGCUCAGUUCUUGGCUUGUGGCCUCUUCCUCCAUAUUCGAAGCCACAAACUGAGCCCCCUGAACCUCAUCUCAUGCUUCCACAUGUAAAGCGGGUCGAUCCCUGCAACCACACUACCCCGUGAUUAGAUCCAGUUCAGCAGACAGGCAGACAGACAGACUGCUCUAGCUUAGAGAUUCGUGCACUAGAGCGAACAGACAAUUGCUCAGGGCUGGGUAGCCAAGAGCACUGUGGACAGCAGACAAGGAUGCGGGUGGGUGGAGAGAGAGACAGGAUUGAGAUCCUAGGGAAGCAGACCCUGAGGAGGGACCUGGGAGAUUGACGGGUGGAGAAGAGAACGAUAGGGGAGUUGGUCAUAGUCUAGGAUAUUAGCCCACCUCAUCCCUCAGACGCUGUCAGAGAAAAGUCACCCCAGAGCUGAGUAACCCUGGUGUGUGUGUGUAUAUGUGUGUGUGUGUGUGUGUGUGUGUGUGUCUAGAUCUCUGUGUGUUUGUGUAUAUGUGUGUCUCUGUGGGCAUAUAUGAGUGUCUCUUUGUGUGUAUGUAUCUCCAUGUGUGUCUGCAUAUGUCUGUAUCUGUGUCUGUGUGCAUAUGUGAAUGUUUCUCUCUCUCUCUCUCUCUCUCUCUCUCUCUAUCUAUCUAUCUCUCUCUCUCUCUCUGUGUGUGUGUGUGUGUGUGUGUGUGUGUGUAUCUUUGUGUAUGUUCAUACCCUAAACUUACAGAGGUGAUGUUACUCUUUGGUAAACAUGGUUCCCUAGAGAAGAUGCCAGAAGAGUCUUAGUAGACAAAACUCUCCUGCAGAAGCUGGCUCCUCAGUGAGGCCUUUGCAGAGGUGAUGGAGGUGAGGGCUGAGAGCCAUAUCUGGCUGGACAUUUGCUUUAUAAAUAAAGCUUCAUUCAGGCGGUGGUGGCACACGCCUUUAAUCCUAGCACUCGGGAGACAGAGGCAGGUGGAUCUCUGCAUUUGAGGCCAGCCUGGUCUACAGAGCAAGUUCUAGGACGGCCAGGUCUACACGGUGAAACCCUGUGGUACCCAGACACACUCACUCCUUUAUACAGGCUCUGCUUACCAUGGAGACAGACGAAGUAGGAGAACAUCCCAGUUUGCCUACAAGACAGAGGUUUCUGGGACACUGGACUUUCAUGUUCUUACAAGGAAGGUACCAGUGUAACAGAACAUCUAAAAUUUUACCAUCUGGCCCUUUGCAGAAAAAUCUGGGGACCCUGCUUUGAAGCCAUCAAAGGUGCACAGGGAGGCAGGAGGUGAGUGGCCAAGACAAAGCACGGUGUAAGGCAGUAGGGACAGGGGAGACCUGGCUCUUUCCAACAUCAGUGAGACUCAGUAGCGACCUGAGGUCCUCUCCUCCACCAGUACAGCCUAGACCCAGGAGCUCCUACAGGCUUGGUUGUCUCUGCUGUGCCUGGGCUUUGCAUCCUGGGUGGCUAGGCUCUGCAGCCACCCACCAUUCAAGCUGCUGCUACCUUACUCUGAGCCUCGGCCACAGGGGCGCCCAUCGAGGACUGACUUUGGGAACUGGAAUGCCCAGAUCAUGAAACUUCUAAACAGGAGGCAGACCUUGUCAAAAAGCACCCCACAGGGAGGUCUAGGGACAACCAGCAAGCGUGUGGAUGAGGAGAGUCAGACUUGGCCAUUUCCAGGAGCCUGUAAAGCAGGGGACGAGGGCGGUGUGAAAAAUAAAUACGGAGGUUAAUGCUAAGGGAAAAGGUUUGUUUUAUCUAGAGCAGAGUAUUUCUAACAUAAACCCAUCGCCCAACCACCACAAAGAGACUGACAUUUUCCCACACACGGCCUCACUCUUUGCUCUGAAGAUGGUUGGGGGGGGGGGGUGAGCAUGUGCAGCUUCCCGGGGGAAUUUCUGGAAAGACCAGCUUCAGAUGAGGGUCAGGGCAGAGUUGGCAACUGUGUGGGGCCAGGUUUUAAGCUCGUGUGUGUGCUGAAGUUGAAGAUCCGAGCACCACCGAGCAGACGGGGAAGAACUCCAUCGGCUGAGUUCUCUGCAACCAGCCUUCUCGGCUCUACAGCUGAUUUUGAGACAGAGCCUUGCUAAGUUCACAGGCUAGCUCUCCACUCGCUCUGAGGCCCCAAUAGGUCUUGAAGCGUUAGUCCUCCAGCCUGAGCCUAACAAGUAGUAGGACUGACAGGUCUCUGCCCCUAGGCCUGAAGAGUUUGAACCCUUAAAGUCCCAGAAGGAAAGAAGGGGAGAGGUGUUCUGAGUGAUCUGAAAGGGUCUGGAAAGAAACGGGAGAAAAAGCACAGUGGUCUGGGCUCCGUUUCCAGCAAUGUGUAAGACUGUGUGGGGCAGACCUGUAAUGACCAGCACAGGAGUUCAAAGUCAUCCUCAGCUUACGUUGAGUUGAGGUCCAGCCUGAGCUACGUAAGACCCUGUAUCAAAAAAACAAAACCAAGAACCAACUUCCAGCAUGCUGCUUCCUGUUUAAAAUAACCACUCCCCUUCUAGCUGUGCAAAUACAGUAGAAGGCCACACAUGCACAUACAUCACCCUUCCCUGUUGCACAUUUCUGAGGGCGGUGACGUUCUGGGCAGGUACUGGAGUCAGAGAGCUGUAUUCCCAGGUUCUCAUGGCUCCCGAAGAAAAGACCUAUGGAUAUUGGUAAAACAGAGAGGACUCAUUAAAUAGAAAAAUACCAGCCAGUGGUGGUGGUGGUGGUGGUGUCUCACGCCAUUAAUCCUGGCACUAGGGAGGCAGAGGCAGACAGAUCUCUGUGAGUUCGAGACCAGUCUGGUCUACAAAGGGAGUUUCAGGAUAGCCGGGACUGUUACCCAGAGAAAUCCUGUCUUGAAAAUCUUGGGGGGAACAAAAGAAAGAAAAAAGGAGGGAAAUGCCUAAGAACUGAAGUUGGUGAGAGCAAAAUAAAAGUUGACACUUGGGGUUGGGGAUUUAGCUCAGUGGUAGAGCGCUCGCCUAGCAAGCGCAAGGCCCUGAGUUCGGUCCCCAGCUCCGGAAAAAAAAAAAAAAGAAAAGAAAAAAAAAGAAAAUUUGACACUCAGGUUGACACUCAGUGUCCCCCUCUACCCAGAAGGCUGAGUAACAGGGCAUUUGCACAGGAAGUGUUUUCUACAGGUGUCCACACGCUCUAUAACCUGUGCCUGGGUUGUAGGGGGUUUGCUCUCUUCCCACUCACUGGCUUCUUACAUAGGCUGACCUAAUGCCUCUUUCCCCCUCCUCCCGACAUACUGACAGCCUAAAACACGCUUAACAUACCUCAAAUGAGAAGCAUAGGCCAGAAUCCUCAGGCUGGCAGGAGGUCCAGGGAGGCUUUGGAAGGGCUCAGAAAUUUAGAUUUAUUUCUGGAGGAGAGUGCUCUGUGAUAAAGGCUGACCAGGGUCUUGUGGGUUGUGUUAAAACUGUAUGACGUCGCUUAGGUCAUAGGUCUGUCUGCCUGGCUGGUUGGAAGCCUCUGCUGGGAUGUUUGUCUUUCGGGGCGCUCUAGACCCAGCUAGCAGUUCCUGAGGAGGGAGAAGCUAGGAGCUGACCUCACUUCAAGGAGGACGAGGAUGCUGAGGGGAGCCCAGCUGGAACGCUUGGGAGUUUAAGGAAAAUGGAUCUGGGAGCAGUGACAGCAGGAAGCUCCAAGAAAACCCAAACAGCUCAGCUCAUGAUUUGCCAAGGGAUGGACGAGUCCCUCCCCUUCCCUGGAGUUGUUAAGGUCUGACCCUCACCAGCUGGGCUUGACCAACCCAAGCCACUUAAAGGGAUGAAGCGUAAUGAAAAGUGCAAAGAAGAGAUUCAUUCACCGGGAAGAGCGACAGAGGCCCAGGGACAGCCUGUACUGGUUUGAACAGAAAGUGCAAAAGAUCAUCGAUGAGGUUUGAAGAAGCAAUUAGUGACAAAAUAUGUCAAUGCUGGGCUCGGAGACAAGCACAGGACGGCUCCGUGCCACUCAAAGCCAGGGAGACCCUGCCACUCCAGGAUGUUUGAGUCUUAUCACAUGCGUCCCGACUUGUCACUUUCAGGAAAUAGAGUUUCCUUUAGUCUUCCUCGCUAAGAUGUUUGUUCCCGUUAUGGUUAUGUGGCAACUACGAGAUGGCUAAUCAGAAGCACCUGAUGGAUGUAUCCUUCCCUGCCCAUCCUCAGAGCGUUUCAACCGGCAGAGCGGGCAGAGCGCCGGAAAACCUAGCCCGUUUUCCCUGUUGCCACAGCGACGGUAUUGCCCAUACGUAACCCUCACGGCCGCUUGCUGGGCGCCGGCUAAUUCUCAGGCCCCGUCGAAAACCUUUGGGUGUAUCGUUCCUCCGGACAUUUACAAAAUGACGUUCUGAAGACGCCAUUAUUGCAAAUUCCAGUUGAGUCCGAUUAGGUCAGAAACAGAGAGCAGCCUGUGCGCCAAAGCCUGCCACAGUCAUCCGUUCAAACGCACAGCAGGGGGACUGGGGCUGUGCUUCCGUCAGUAGGGCACCUGCCUAGCAUGCACAAAGCCCUGGGUCAGCCUCCAGCACCGCACAACUGGACGUGGCCGGCCUAACCUGAGUCCUAGCACCCAGGAGGAGCAGAAGGGAUGACUGGAAGGACAAGGUCAUCUUCAGCUAUGCAGUGAGUGGCCAGCCAGGUCCACUUACUGAUGGAAGACACCUUCCAGAAGAGGUUCCUUCAGUGUCACAAAUCUGGUUUGGGGAGCUGGCCAGAGAGAAGGAGAUGGGCUGCCCCCUCUCUAGUUCCCUCAAUUUGGUGUCUCCAUAAUCAUGAAUAAUCCUACUUUCUGGUUAUGCACAGCAUGUCAUUCAUAGCAAAUGUCAGAAUGGAAGUUAUCAUUUGUGUGUGCACGCGUGUGUACACAUAUGCGUACAUGUAUGUGUGUGUACAUGUAUGUGAGUGUGCAUGUGUGUUUGUGCAAGUGUGUGUGUGACACACACACAGAGAGAGAGAGAGAGAGAGAGAGAGGGAGAGAGAGACUCACUUUGUAACCUACACUGGCUUUGAGCUCCUGCUCUUCCUCCUGCGUCAUCCCCCUGAAUGCUGGAAUUACAGGUAUUGACCACACUGAAGCUGGGGUGUGGCAUCUGUGUGUCCUGCUGCUGUUGCUGCUGCUGCUGCUGCUGCUGCUGCUGCUGCACUGAGCGCCACCUUGGGGAGGGCAUCUUGGAGCUGUCACAGGUGCAGCACCAUCUCAAUCAAAAAGAGGCCACUAUAACCUGCUUUUCACUUAUGGCCUGUGCUGUGCUGUGGAUGUAUUUGCAGAAGGUGAAGCUAGUCUCUUCCCAUCCUUUGGAUGCAGCUCACUGCCCUUGGGAUGGGAGUCACAGGCAGUCGGUCCCAAGGGCUCUGCCCUCAGUGCAGAUGAAAGCCAUCAUCUCUGGGGUAAGUGGCUUAGACCCCAUUUCCUCCUCUUAGCCCCAGCUUGCCCUUCUGCCUUCUGACUAGGAUGUCACAGCAGGAACACUGUCACCAGAUGUCGCAGCCACCCUCCAGAAUGACAAGAGUGACAUUUCUGUUUCCCCGUAAAUUAUUCAGCCUUGAGUAUUCUGUCACAGCAGCAAAAAGAAAAAUAGAACUUGCGCCUUUCUGUACACGCACUGUGGGCUGAGGCUGAAUGGUCAAACCCUGGGCAGCCCAUGGACUUAGGAGAUUCCCAAGGCUGCUUUCAGCAGAGGCUGUUGCUCUCUCUGUUAUAUUUAGGCUUUGUCCUAGUGUGUGCGGUGCCCACUGCGUGCGACCUUGUGCUAAGUUCAUGUGCUCUUGCCCUGGAUACAAGGACUCUGCUCUGGGCUUUCAGUCUGUCCACCAAUAGAAUAGGUGGCAGGGGAACCCUGACAAAUAUUCGAAUUGAAAAAGAUCCUCCUUCAUGGUGGGGGGCGGGUGCAUGUGAACUGCCCUGAGGGAGUGGAGGGAGCUGGGGCCAACACUCCCAUGCUGGGAGGUGGCUCAAAUGCUGGUCCAUGCCCUCCCUCUCCCUCUUCUCCUCUCCCUCCUCUCCCUCCUUCUGGACACAACUCCUUUCUUGCCCCAACUCCCGGUAGUCAGGAGGCUGGCCCCAGGGCAUGAGAGGGCUUGUGAGCAGGAAGGCUGAUUUGACCUCCUGCCCUUGGCAGCACUGGCCUAGCCAGAGCAGUGCUGGAGAGCUCACCCUGGUGGUACCGACAAGGGAGAAGCAGCAAGCUGGCCAGCUCAGAUCCAGAUCCAGGGUUCUGAAUUGUCCCACCCUAAAAUCUAUAUCAUCUUCAAAUAGUUGGGACUCAUAAAAGGACCGGUCCUGCUGACCUCUAGGGCAGUGGCUCUCAACUCUCCUAACUCUCUGACCAUGUAAUACAGUUCCUUGUGUUUUGGUGACUGUCAGCCAUAGAAUUAUUCCUGUUACUACUUCACAACUAUAAAUUUGGAUAUGGUUAUGAAUUGUAAUGUAAGUGUCUGUGUUUCCCCAUGGUCUUAGGCAGCCCCUGUGAAAGGGUCAACCCACAGGCUGAGAAGCGCUGUUCUAGGGUUUGUUACAGGCAGCAAGGAGUGAGUGAUGCUCUGGAGCUGGGCAGAGAGGGCAGCAUCCUGGGCUCGCCUGACACCGAUCUGCAUCCAGACAGUCCCAUUUUUAGUCACACAUGUGGAGCCCAGGGCUAAGGCACCAGGAAAACAAGGACCACACAGGACUGUGUCUUCCCUGAGAAAGCUAGGCCACCUGAAAAAAAAAUCCCAGCUCUGGGGAGGCAGAGGCAGGUGGAUCUCUGAGGUCAAGGCCAGCCUGGUCUACAAAAUGAGUCCCAGGACAGCCAGGGCUACACAGAGAAACCUUGUCUCAAAAACAAAAACAAACAAACAAACAAAAAUGUUUAUUUAUACAUUUUAUCUGUACAUUUUUUCUGUACAAAGUUUUGCCAGGUCAAGGAUUCAAGGUGAGGAUGGCAGCCCCACAAUGACGGUGGCUGGGACACGAAGCCCAUGCUCCCCCCAGUGAAGUCUGAGGCACACAGGAAACUCCAAACCACAACUGUGCCUCACCCUGCCAUCCCCAAAUAAAACAAUACCCACAAACCAAGGAGAACAGAGGAGCCAAGAAUUCAAGCCCCACUGCAAGGCUGGCCUAACCACCAUUCUCCUGGGGCAGCUUGCCUCAUUGGAAGGAAACGAAAAAAAACCCUUGAGCUCAGAGGUUCCUGCGACCUGGACCCACAGAAACAGCAGGACAUUUGGCCAAAGCGCAGACUCCUUAAACAACCCCUCUGAUUCAUUUAUUUCCAAAUACCUCUGAGUAUGAGAGAGCAUGAUCUAGGGGCUACUGAGUAGAUCAGAGGUGAGGGGUGAUUCUCAUCGAUGCCCAGAAAACCAUGAGCGUAAGACUCAAGCAGCAGAAUGCAGAAUGGAGAAAAACAAGGUUGGAAACGAAAGCUCACAGCUACAGUUCCAGGACAUCACGAGUUCUACUUGCCCGUGCGCCUCCUCUUCAUUCUGGAGUGAGUUUUGCUUCCAAGUAACCAGAUGACAGGUGGGAAAUGACAUCUUGGGUUUCAGUUCUGUAUUCCUCAGGAGCGAUCCACCAGCAGGUUCCAGAGACCCCAGAAAAUUCUCUUCAUGUAAGAGCUUUGGAACAGCUUGCUUAUAACUGGCCUCUCGUGUGGCCUAUGCUGGUCUUGAACGUGUUUAUAUAGCCUAGGAUGGCUUUGGACCCUCACCUCCUCUCUGUGCCUCCAGAGAACUACGGGUGUGUGUGCCAUCAUGCAUGGUUCAUGUUGUGUGGAGGAUGGGACCCGUCCAGGGCUUUGUGCACGCCAGGCAAACACGCUGCCAACUGAGUACACCUCCAGCUAGAGUAGUUUGUGCUUGUUCGGUUGGUUCUCGAGACAAGAUUUUGUUUAGCCUAGGCUGGCUCGACGUGUAGCCAAGCGCAGCCUUGAACUCCUGAUCCUCCUUCAUCCUGCCUCUGCUGCCUAAGUGCUGGGAUUCUAGACUUGGACCUCUGCGCCUGGCUUAAAAUAUAUAUGUAUUUUUAGAGUUGAGAAUAUAUCGAAGACAACACUAGGAGCUUCCACAUACCCUGACACAGAUGAUCUGCCACGGAUGUCUCAGGGGGAUAUAAUAUACUUGUCAGAAUUGAUGAAAAUAAUUACGGAUAUUAAUAAUAAUGUCCUGCUUUUAUUUCUGUUGCUGUGAUAAAAUAUUUUGACAAAAAGCAACUCGUGGAAAGAGAAAUUUAUUCCUACUCUCAAAGUUAUGGUCCACCUCUGUGGGGAGGUCCAGGCAGGAACGUCAGUCAUACCACAGCCACAGUCAAGAGCAGAGGGAGAUGCUUGAUUGCUAGUGCUUAGCUCGAUUUGCCCUCGAAUACAGUGCAGGACCUCUUGUCUAGGGAAUGCUGCUGCCCACAGUGGGCUCAGUCUUCCCACAUUAAUGAACUCAAUUAAGACGAUGCCCGCAGAUGUUCCCACAGGACAACUCAAUGUAGACAAGCUGUCAUCCGUUCAUCUCUUCCCAGGUGAUCCUAGGCUGUAUGAAGUUAGUGAUGGAAGGUAAUUCUCAUAGUCAGUAAAGUCCACAUAUGAACGAACACUGGUUUAUUUAGCUUUUACUCGGUGAUCUUUCCCUGGCUGGGAUGCCGCCCCAGGACACUCAUCCCAUGACACUUAGCUACAGGCUUCAUUUGUUGGCAACAGUUUAUGAGACUCACGUUAUCUCCCAUGGCCUGCGCAGUGUGGGGGAGACCUGGUUGGGACUGUUACUGAGAAGAACUAAUGGAACGUGUGUGUGUGUGUGUGUGUGUGUGUGUGUGUGUGUGUGUUCGUGUGUGUGUGCCUGUGUGGUGUGUGUAUUAAAGGGAGUUAUUAGGUUGGCUCACACAACAGUCUGAAUAGUCCAACAAUCGGCGCGUACACUCCUAGGGAGGCUGCAAACACCAUAACUGCUCUAUCCAUGAGGCCGCAUGCCUUGGAGGUACCAGUCUAGACACACUGAGGGCCUAGAAGGUUCCUGGACAGCAUUUUGCCUUCAGUUCGUCUGUGAGGCUGAAGAACAUGGAGUCUGGUGUCAGUUAAGGAUGGUGGCAGAGACAGACGGACACACCAGCUCUGGAAGGCAGAUCUCUUUUCCGUCCCUCCCUGUUGGGCAGCAGCCCUGUAUUCAGGGUGUGCCCUCCUUCCCUAGGUGACGCUUUCUGCAGACGUCCUCCCAGGCGUGCUCAGAGAUGUGCUUCAACCUUAGCUCUACUUGACCAUGAAGAUUACCCAUCCUGCCCCUUGUGCUUUUUCAGUUGCUUACAGAUUUCAGUCAGGACAGGAGCAUUCCUUUCAAAGUUUUGGCUGUCAUCAGAUAACCUCUUUACUUUCCUUCUCAAAAUGCCCAAGCUGUGACCACCUGGAGCCUCUUUGCUUGGGUGCCAGCCCCACAUAGGCGUUGGCUGCUUACCUAGAACUCUGUCUUAGUUGGUGUUUCCAUUGCUGCAAAGAGACACCAUGACCAAGGCUACUCUUAUAAGAGACAUAUUUAAUUGGGGCUGGCUUACAGGUUCAGAGAUUCUGUCCAUUAUCAUCAUGGCAGGAAGCAUGGCAGCCUCCAGGCAGGCAGUUGUGGUGUUGGAGAAGGAUCAGAGUUGUGCAUCUAAACCUGAUGGCCACUGGGAGGCUGUCCUCCAGGAAGCUAAGAGGAGGAUCUCCAAACUCACCCCCACCAUGACACACCCACUCCAAGGCCACACCCACUCCAACAAAGGCCACGCCCACUCCAACAAGGCCAUGCCCACUCCAACAAGGCCACGCCCACUCCAACAAGGCCACAUCCCCUAAUAGUGCCACUCCCUAAGCUAAGUAUAUUCAAACCACCACAAACUUUUUUGUGUCAUAGCCUUACAAGAUGCUCCUGGCUCUACUCACCCCUUUCCUGGCCUGGCCUGGAGUCCACCGUUUGUCCUGGCCUCUGGCACUUCUCUCGGCAAGCUCUGGCUCUAGGUGUCUUUGUUGCCUCGAGGCCUCUCCUCUGGGUAAGCAAGGAGCCAAGAUCAGGUCUUCAGCCUUCUCUGAUGGGGGUGUGGCAGUGCACCCCUUCACCAGACCAGCUGGCACGUUCAAGGCUGAAUGUGCUGACAGGUGACAAGCAACGGGGGCCCAGCUGGGGCAAGUGUUGAGACCCACAACAGAGAAGUGUGGUCUCCUCAAGGAUGCCCAAGUCACUGGAGGGCAUACGAGUGUCCACCUACUGUCCCCAAGGAGAAUCCACGCAGCGACCCGAACCAAGCACCCACUGAAUCUCCCUGACAUCUGCUCUUAGAAGAAAGGACUGGGUCAUAUGUGACUCAGGACACCGACAAAUUCCCAUCGUCCUGUGGGUGUUAAUGAAAUAUUUUUAAUCUUGUCCUUCAAAGCAGCUGGCUUGUCUCCU
Molecule: non-coding RNA, 10568 nt
Organism: Rattus norvegicus (Norway rat)
Lineage: Eukaryota; Metazoa; Chordata; Mammalia; Rodentia; Muridae
Source: RefSeq, a predicted model, not a curated record